RNAcentral lists this ribosomal RNA (440 nucleotides) under uncultured bacterium. RNAcentral's name for it is "partial 16S ribosomal RNA". It matches the Rfam family "Bacterial small subunit ribosomal RNA", at positions 338 to 795 of the family's 1533-position model. The record is from RNAcentral.
CCUACGGGAGGCAGCAGUGGGGAAUAUUGGACAAUGGGGGAAACCCUGAUCCAGCGACGCCGCGUGAGUGAAGAAGUAUUUCGGUACGUAAAGCUCUAUCAGCAGGAAAGAAAAUGACGGUACCUGACUAAGAAGCCCCGGCUAACUACGUGCCAGCAGCCGCGGUAAUACGUAGGGGGCAAGCGUUAUCCGGAUUUACUGGGUGUAAAGGGAGCGUAGACGGCAGCGCAAGUCUGGAGUGAAAUGCCGGGGCGCAACCCCGGAACUGCUCUGGAAACUGUGAAGCUGGAGUGCAGGAGAGGUAAGCGGAAUUCCUGGUGUAGCGGUGAAAUGCGUAGAUAUCAGGAGGAACACCGGCGGCGAAGGCGGCUUACUGGACUGUAACUGACGUUGAGGCUCGAAGGCGUGGGGAGCAAACAGGAUUAGAUACCCUAGUAGUC